GACGAACGCUGGCGGCGUGCCUAAUACAUGCAAGUUGAGCGAUGAAGAUUGGUGCUUGCCCCAAUUUGAAGAGCAGCGAACGGGUGAGUAACGCGUGGGGAAUCUGCCUUUGGGCGGGGGACAACAUUUGGAAACGAAUGCUAAUACCGCAUAACAACUUUAAACAUAAGUUUUAAGUUUGAAAGAUGCAAUUGCAUCACUCAAAGAUGAUCCCGCGUUGUAUUAGCUAGUUGGUGAGGUAAAGGCUCACCAAGGCGAUGAUACAUAGCCGACCUGAGAGGGUGAUCGGCCAAAUUGGGACUGGGACACGGCCCAAACUCCUACGGGAGGCAGCAGUAGGGAAUCUUCGGCAAUGGACGAAAGUCUGACCGAGCAACGCCGCGUGAGUGAAGAAGGUUUUCGGAUCGUAAAACUCUGUUGGUAGAGAAGAACGUUGGUGAGAGUGGAAAGCUCAUCAAGUGACGGUAACUACCCAGAAAGGGACGGCUAACUACGUG
Molecule: ribosomal RNA, 497 nt
Filed under: uncultured bacterium
Lineage: Bacteria
Description: partial 16S ribosomal RNA
Rfam family: Bacterial small subunit ribosomal RNA
Source: RNAcentral